Molecule: long non-coding RNA, 584 nt
Organism: Drosophila persimilis
Lineage: Eukaryota; Metazoa; Arthropoda; Insecta; Diptera; Drosophilidae
Exons: 2
Source: RefSeq, a predicted model, not a curated record
GUAUCUUUUUUUGCAGGCGAUGAGAGCAUUCAUUGAAUCCAACUUUAAACUGCUGGAUAUAGAUAGUGAUGGAAUAGUGGGAGUAAAAGAAUAUCGUUAUAACUGUAUAACAAGAGUAGCCAUCGAUGAUAUUUCCCCCAUAGACAAAGCGUUCGAAACGUUACUGAAUGAUGAAGAUCGAAAGCGCGGAGGCCUCUCAUUAGAACGCUAUAAGGAACUUUAUGGUACAUUUUUGGGAAACAAAGCUGAUAACCAUCCAGCAGUAAACCUUUUUGGUCCUUUAUAAUCACUUAAAAUUUAAUUGUCUUCGCUGUUGUUCAACUACUAUUUUAUUAAGUUUUAUUUGUAAUUACUAUGACUAUAAAUUUACUACCACUAAGAUAUAAAGCAUUCACAUCAUUUUGUGUAGAAUCGUCAGAUAAAGAGUUCGUUAACUUUAAAUUUGUAUAACUAGAUAGGUCAAUUUGCUCUCAGAAGUUUAAAAUAGUAUACAAAUAUAUGUUGAUUUGCUCUCAUAAAAAGGCUCUUAAGUAAUUUGCCCCACUCUCGAAACCUGCAAGAUGUAAUUAUAUUGUUGCGUUAUA